AGAAUCAACGCUGGCGGCGUGCCUAACACAUGCAAGUCGAACGCGAAAGCCCCGCAAGGGGUCAGUAGAGUGGCAAACGGGGUGAGUAACACGUGGGUGAUCUGCCUCAGAGUGGGGGAUAACGACCCGAAAGGGUCGCUAAUACCGCAUAACAUCCUGCCUUUGGAUAGGUGGAGAUCAAAGUUGGGGAUCCGCAAGGACCUGACGCUUAGAGAGGAGCCCGCGGCCGAAUUAGCUAGGUUGGUGAGGUAACGGCUCACCAAGGCAACGAUC
This 273-nucleotide ribosomal RNA is filed under the name uncultured soil bacterium. RNAcentral describes it as "partial 16S ribosomal RNA". It matches the Rfam family "Bacterial small subunit ribosomal RNA", at positions 26 to 281 of the family's 1533-position model. The record is from RNAcentral.